This 229-nucleotide ribosomal RNA is filed under the name uncultured bacterium. RNAcentral describes it as "partial 16S ribosomal RNA". It matches the Rfam family "Bacterial small subunit ribosomal RNA", at positions 568 to 796 of the family's 1533-position model. The record is from RNAcentral.
UACGUAGGCGGUUGUGAAAGUCAGAAGUGAAAUCCCAGGGCUCAACCCUGGAACUGCUUUUGAAACUUCAUAACUAGAGUCCCGGAGAGGUUGGCAGAAUUCCCAGUGUAGAGGUGAAAUUCGCAGAUAUUGGGAGGAAUACCAGUGGCGUAGGCGGCCAACUGGACGGGAACUGACGCUGAGGUACGAAAGCGUGGGGAGCAAACAGGAUUAGAUACCCUGGUAGUCC